UGCUGUUCGACCUCCGUCUGCUGGCGCU
RNAcentral lists this non-coding RNA (28 nucleotides) under Bombyx mori (domestic silkworm). Lineage: Eukaryota; Metazoa; Arthropoda; Insecta; Lepidoptera; Bombycidae. The record is from RNAcentral.